Molecule: ribosomal RNA, 253 nt
Filed under: uncultured bacterium
Lineage: Bacteria
Description: partial 16S ribosomal RNA
Rfam family: Bacterial small subunit ribosomal RNA
Source: RNAcentral
UACGUAGGGUGCAAGCGUUGUCCGGAAUUAUUGGGCGUAAAGAGCGUGUAGGCGGCCCGAUUAGUCCGCUGUGAAAGUCCAGGGCUCAACCCUGGAAUGCCGGUGGAAACUGUCGGGCUAGAGUCCGGAAGGGGCGAGUGGAAUUCCUGGUGUAGCGGUGAAAUGCGCAGAUAUCAGGAGGAACACCAGUGGCGAAGGCAGCUCGCUGGGACGUGACUGACGCUGAGGUGCGAAAGCGUGGGGAGCAAACAGG